CGAACUAUUUAUAGUUAGUGGCAGACGGGUGAGAAACGCGUGGGAACGUACCCCAAAGUUCGGAAUAACUAUUGGAAACGAUAGCUAAUACCGGAUGUGACCGAGAGGUUAAAGGUUUACCGCUUUGGGAGCGGCCCGCGUUAGAUUAGCUAGUUGGUAGGGUAAAGGCCUACCAAGGCAAUGAUCUAUAGCUGGCCUGAGAGGGUGACCGGCCACACUGGAACUGAGAUACGGUCCAGACUCC
Molecule: ribosomal RNA, 244 nt
Filed under: uncultured bacterium
Lineage: Bacteria
Description: partial 16S ribosomal RNA
Rfam family: Bacterial small subunit ribosomal RNA
Source: RNAcentral